UGAUAAUGAAGAUGAUGAAAGAAAAAGAAGUCUGUGAACUAUUAGACAGGCCCCUGUCCCAGGGUGUCGGAGAUUCAAGAUUACCUCUGUAGCAGUUGCUCAUCAACAGGCUCAACACCAGAUCAUUGAAAUUAUUGGGAGUACCAGUGGAAUCUGCAGCAUGUCUGGGUAUGAAGUGAGUACAGGUGCUGAAGAUUACUGGGAAUUUUAAUGCUGUCUGUUGACUUUGCAAUGAGAACUGUUUCAUGCUGUUGAGAUGUCUAUGUUCAUGGAAAAGAAUAGACCUGCUCA
Molecule: long non-coding RNA, 291 nt
Filed under: Numida meleagris (helmeted guineafowl)
Lineage: Eukaryota; Metazoa; Chordata; Aves; Galliformes; Numididae
Description: lncRNA (ENSNMEG00000006220.1)
Source: RNAcentral